This 1318-nucleotide long non-coding RNA is filed under the name Bemisia tabaci. RNAcentral's name for it is "lncRNA ENSASIAIIG011689". Lineage: Eukaryota; Metazoa; Arthropoda; Insecta; Hemiptera; Aleyrodidae. The record is from RNAcentral.
UGCAAAUUGCAAAAACGAUGCGCAAGCUUCACACAACCGUGUUUCGCGCACGGUGUUGACAUUUUGGUAAUAAAGGUCAGUAUAUUUCUUUCAUAACAUAAGCCUAAAACUUGACGUGAAGACGUGAAGAGACUUUGUUUUUUAUAUGCUGAAUAUUCGGCAACACUGCCAAAGCCAUAUGUUCUGCGCCUUUGUUUUCUUUUGCUAUCAGUUAUCGUUCCUCAACAACUACAUUAAAUAUUUAAUUUUUAAGUAAGGUUUUACUCUCGAAAAUCUAGGUUGUAUAGAAUGAACAUUGUUAAUUUUUCUCAUUUUGUGAUUUGCUGUUCCUACCUUACCCAAAUUUAACUAAUUCAACGUGUUUUAUCAUUUGACAAAUGUAGGCAUAGUGCAUCGAACUGGCUAGAGAAAGCUAAUCAGUAGUGCAUUCACAUUAGUUAGAGGCAUUAUUAAGUAAUUACUUAUUUCUAAUCUAGAUCGUCUCGUGUAGCACUGUCCAAAACUGGUUUCUGUGCCUCUACAAAUGUGACGCACGGAAUGUGUCGUAAUUUAGGUUAAAGAAAUGUAUGUCGAGUAGAUUUUCGAAAUAUGGAGUUCAGUGAGUUCAGCUUUCUAUUUCUUAUCUUGCAACUGUAAGUAAUCACCUCACCACGUUUGAGACCUCAAGAACCAGGUGCAUUCCUGCUUCUUAUACAGUUAGCAACUAGAUUAUUACUUACGAGGGUUAUUAACUACUGAUGACACUAGGAACCGAAAUAUAAAACUAUUUAAUGAUGAGCUGACAGCACAUAUUGCAGAUGUACCUAUCUCUGGACAAUUGUACUUAUUGAUCAUUGAUAUAGACCCUAGUUUUAUUCCCGAUUUCUGACUCAUCUUCAGACCAAAGGUCAUCAGAAUGCUUUUAAAGUUUGCCUUUACCACGGCUGCUGAUCUAAUCCAAGAGGCAAAUAAUUUCUCUCUGCUGCAACUAUUGGGGUGUCGUAAGAAAGAAAAAGAAUGCGAAAUGGACUUCAUUCUGUUGUUACCUGAGGAAGUAUCCCUUAUGAUUUUAGAGCAGCUGAAUGGACAAUCAUUACUAGCCUGUAGCCGUGUUUGCCGAAGGUGGAAUAACUUCUGUAAUUCGCAUGAAUCUCUGAGGAGCAUUAUUGAAGAGGAAAAGCGAUUUGCAGCUAUGAGGCGAACUUUCAAAUCCUAUGAGCGAGGUGUUGACCAAGCCAUCUAUCUCAGUUUAAUCUACGACUACCUGUUUGAGAUAUGUCAAGCAACACAGUUUUUUAUGAAAAUACCGUACCGUGCUAUCUCUUUAUUAAAAUCAUGA